AGAGUUUGAUCCUGGCUCAGGACGAAGCUGGCGGCAUGCCUAAUACAUGCAAGUCGAACGAGCUUCCGUUGAAUGACGUGCUUGCACUGAUUUCAACAAUGAAGCGAGUGGCGAACUGGUGAGUAACACGUGGGGAAUCUGCCCAGAAGCAGGGGAUAACACUUGGAAACAGGUGCUAAUACCGUAUAACAACAAAAUCCGCAUGGAUUUUGUUUGAAAGGUGGCUUCGGCUAUCACUUCUGGAUGAUCCCGCGGCGUAUUAGUUAGUUGGUGAGGUAAAGGCCCACCAAGACGAUGAUACGUAGCCGACCUGAGAGGGUAAUCGGCCACAUUGGGACUGAGACACGGCCCAAACUCCUACGGGAGGCAGCAGUAGGGAAUCUUCCACAAUGGACGAAAGUCUGAUGGAGCAAUGCCGCGUGAGUGAAGAAGGGUUUCGGCUCGUAAAACUCUGUUGUUAAAGAAGAACACCUUUGAGAGUAACUGUUCAAGGGUUGACGGUAUUUAAAUCAGAAAGCCACGGCUAACUACGUGCCAGCAGCCGCGGUAAUACGUAGGUGGCAAGCGUUGUCCGGAUUUAUUGGGCGUAAAGCGAGCGCAGGCGGUUUUUUAAGUCUGAUGUGAAAGCCUUCGGCUUAACCGGAGAAGUGCAUCGGAAACUGGGAGACUUGAGUGCAGAAGAGGACAGUGGAACUCCAUGUGUAGCGGUGGAAUGCUGGUAGAUAUAUGGAAGAACACCAGUGGCGAAGGCGGCUGUCUAGUCUGUAACUGACGCUGAGGCUCGAAAGCAUGGGUAGCGAACAGGAUUAGAUACCCUGGUAGUCC
RNAcentral lists this ribosomal RNA (825 nucleotides) under Levilactobacillus brevis. RNAcentral's name for it is "bacterial SSU rRNA". It matches the Rfam family "Bacterial small subunit ribosomal RNA", at positions 8 to 796 of the family's 1533-position model. The record is from RNAcentral. Lineage: Bacteria; Bacillati; Bacillota; Bacilli; Lactobacillales; Lactobacillaceae.